GACCGCUCCGGUGGCUUAGUGGUUAUAGCGUUUGCCUCAGAUGCGGGAAGUCGCGGGUACGAAACCCAUCCAAGUCA
Non-coding RNA from Potamilus streckersoni, 77 nucleotides. Lineage: Eukaryota; Metazoa; Mollusca; Bivalvia; Unionida; Unionidae. The record is from the annotation of a GenBank genome assembly.